RNAcentral lists this ribosomal RNA (600 nucleotides) under bacterium enrichment culture clone F61x_D2_T3_B01. RNAcentral's name for it is "bacterial SSU rRNA". It matches the Rfam family "Bacterial small subunit ribosomal RNA", at positions 321 to 914 of the family's 1533-position model. The record is from RNAcentral.
GAGACACGGCCCAGACUCCUACGGGAGGCAGCAGUGGGGAAUUUUGGACAAUGGGCGCAAGCCUGAUCCAGCAAUGCCGCGUGAGUGAAGAAGGCCUUCGGGUUGUAAAGCUCUUUUGUCAGGGAAGAAACGGUGGAGGUUAAUACCUUCUGCUAAUGACGGUACCUGAAGAAUAAGCACCGGCUAACUACGUGCCAGCAGCCGCGGUAAUACGUAGGGUGCAAGCGUUAAUCGGAAUUACUGGGCGUAAAGCGUGCGCAGGCGGUUGUGCAAGACAGAUGUGAAAUCCCCGGGCUCAACCUGGGAAUUGCAUUUGUGACUGUACGGCUAGAGUGUGUCAGAGGGGGGUAGAAUUCCACGUGUAGCAGUGAAAUGCGUAGAGAUGUGGAGGAAUACCGAUGGCGAAGGCAGCCCCCUGGGAUAACACUGACGCUCAUGCACGAAAGCGUGGGGAGCAAACAGGAUUAGAUACCCUGGUAGUCCACGCCCUAAACGAUGUCUACUAGUUGUCGGGUCUUUAUUGACUUGGUAACGCAGCUAACGCGUGAAGUAGACCGCCUGGGGAGUACGGUCGCAAGAUUAAAACUCAAAGGAAUUGAC